GUGUCAGCCGCCGCGGUAAUACGUAGGGUCCGAGCGUUGUCCGGAGUGACUGGGCGUAAAGCGCGCGCAGGCGGCCCCUCAGGCACGACGUGAAAGCCCCGGGCUCAACCCGGGAGGGUCGUCGUGAACCGUGGGGCUUGAGGCCGGUAGAGGUGGGUGGAACUCCUGGUGGAGUGGUGAAAUGCGUAGAGAUCAGGAAGAACACCCGUGGCGAAGGCGGCCCACUGGGCCGGUACUGACGCUGAGGCGCGAAGGCGUGGGGAGCGAACGGGAUUAGAAACCCUCGUAGUCC
This 292-nucleotide ribosomal RNA is filed under the name uncultured bacterium. Its description in RNAcentral is "partial 16S ribosomal RNA". It matches the Rfam family "Bacterial small subunit ribosomal RNA", at positions 505 to 796 of the family's 1533-position model. The record is from RNAcentral.